GGAGGGAGGAGAUAGAGAGGAAGGUAAGGAAAAUAAUGGAGGGUGAAGAAGGUCGGGAAAUCAGAGAGAGGGUUAAAGGGCUUAAAAUUAGUGGGGAAACGGCCGUCUCUAAGGGUGGCUCCUCCUACAAUUCUUUGGCUCUUAUGGCUUCGGAAUGCCAUAUUUUCCGGCGCCAACGUGACGAGAGAACGGAGUUUUAGUGCAUGUUUGCAAACGGUUAUAAAAUUAAAUAAUGAAAAUCAGAUUUUUCAC
RNAcentral lists this unclassified non-coding RNA (252 nucleotides) under Hevea brasiliensis (rubber tree). Lineage: Eukaryota; Viridiplantae; Streptophyta; Magnoliopsida; Malpighiales; Euphorbiaceae. The record is from RNAcentral.